GUUUAGGUAGCUUAAAUUUAAAGUAUAAUAUUGAAGAUAUUAGGAUGAGAAUAUUUCUUUCUAAAUA
This 67-nucleotide transfer RNA is filed under the name Enithares tibialis. RNAcentral describes it as "tRNA-Phe". Lineage: Eukaryota; Metazoa; Arthropoda; Insecta; Hemiptera; Notonectidae. The record is from RNAcentral.